Molecule: long non-coding RNA, 306 nt
Filed under: Bos grunniens (domestic yak)
Lineage: Eukaryota; Metazoa; Chordata; Mammalia; Artiodactyla; Bovidae
Description: lncRNA (ENSBGRG00000012019.1)
Source: RNAcentral
GUCCUUGAUUGGGAGUUGGUAGAGAACCAAUUCUAUCCCACAUACCAAGGAAGACAAAUCCCUGUUUGUUUGUUUUUAAAGGUAAAAUAAAAUUGAAAGCAGUCAAGAUUCCAGAUGGAGUUGGGGAUCCAUAGAAUGAUUUUUAAAAGUGUCUUCCCCUGCAACUCACCACCCUUUCCUUUUUAUUUGAAUUUCCUGCCAAUGGACUUAAGCAUCAUUUAUCUACAUUAAAAAAAACCCUGCUUACUCUGGAAGGUGCUAAGACAGACCUCCAGAGUGUCAGCCCCCAGAAGAAGCCUUGUGUCC